RNAcentral lists this ribosomal RNA (864 nucleotides) under uncultured bacterium. RNAcentral's name for it is "bacterial SSU rRNA". It matches the Rfam family "Bacterial small subunit ribosomal RNA", at positions 58 to 916 of the family's 1533-position model. The record is from RNAcentral.
CAAGUCGAGCGGGGGAAGGUAGCUUGCUACCGGACCUAGCGGCGGACGGGUGAGUAAUGCUUAGGAAUCUGCCUAUUAGUGGGGGACAACAUCUCGAAAGGGAUGCUAAUACCGCAUACGUCCUACGGGAGAAAGCAGGGGAUCUUCGGACCUUGCGCUAAUAGAUGAGCCUAAGUCGGAUUAGCUAGUUGGUGGGGUAAAGGCCUACCAAGGCGACGAUCUGUAGCGGGUCUGAGAGGAUGAUCCGCCACACUGGGACUGAGACACGGCCCAGACUCCUACGGGAGGCAGCAGUGGGGAAUAUUGGACAAUGGGGGGAACCCUGAUCCAGCCAUGCCGCGUGUGUGAAGAAGGCCUUAUGGUUGUAAAGCACUUUAAGCGAGGAGGAGGCUACUUUAGUUAAUACCUAGAGAUAGUGGACGUUACUCGCAGAAUAAGCACCGGCUAACUCUGUGCCAGCAGCCGCGGUAAUACAGAGGGUGCGAGCGUUAAUCGGAUUUACUGGGCGUAAAGCGUGCGUAGGCGGCUUAUUAAGUCGGAUGUGAAAUCCCCGAGCUUAACUUGGGAAUUGCAUUCGAUACUGGUGAGCUAGAGUAUGGGAGAGGAUGGUAGAAUUCCAGGUGUAGCGGUGAAAUGCGUAGAGAUCUGGAGGAAUACCGAUGGCGAAGGCAGCCAUCUGGCCUAAUACUGACGCUGAGGUACGAAAGCAUGGGGAGCAAACAGGAUUAGAUACCCUGGUAGUCCAUGCCGUAAACGAUGUCUACUAGCCGUUGGGGCCUUUGAGGCUUUAGUGGCGCAGCUAACGCGAUAAGUAGACCGCCUGGGGAGUACGGUCGCAAGACUAAAACUCAAAUGAAUUGACGG